This is a long non-coding RNA of Bombus pyrosoma, 2281 nucleotides long. RefSeq lists it as uncharacterized. The transcript is spliced from 4 exons. The record is from RefSeq and is a predicted model, not a curated record. NCBI's taxonomy places the organism in Eukaryota, Metazoa, Arthropoda, Insecta, Hymenoptera, Apidae.
UAUUAAGUUAAUAUUUGUAUUGGUUUAUAUAAUUUCUUAAUUAUGAUUUACAGGAAAGAUGAUUAAGAGGAUUUGAACCGAAAAACUUGGAAUAUUAUUUCGAUACUACUAAGAUGUACCUACAUGUAGCUAUCUGUAUCGUUGGUGUAUCAACUAUAGGAACAUUUAGGGGUGCGCGGUCAAUGUACUAGAGUCAGUUAAUUCAUUCAACAAAGAGAGAAAAUAACUGCAAUAAAAAUAUGAACGGUUUGAAAAACGCGACGUUACUGCCGAAGAUAAAUUAUAACACGCCCCAAGAAAAUGGCAUGACAUAUCGUGCGAGAGUUAGAAAAGGUAAAAGGACGUAAAGUGGUGGGUGUUAGGACAGGAACGGAUUAAUAUCGAAACUUAAUUAGGAAAAUGACGAAGUUGCUAAAUGGAGGCUACUAUAUACAAUGGUUACAGGUGUAGCUUUGUUACGAAACAUUUACAUCUUUUUGCGGUAAUAAAUAAUAACGGUAGAUUUUGUAAGUAUUAAAAUUUUUCCUUUUCUUAUUCCCCUUAAGUCUUAAGGUGCAGGUAACGUAGGUAAUUUCGUUCAUGAAACUUUAUAAAGAAUACUAUAAAUCACUUUAUGAACGAUCUACAUAUUUAUGUUUGGGUUAUGAUAAGUGAAUUUUUGAGAGGACCUCUUUCAAGGGUGUCUCGGAUAUUUUUACAAGGGUGCCGCCACUUCGACUGUCUCAUACAAGAAAAUGUUUUUAGUCGCUUGAAAAGGGAGGAUGAAGUAGAUUGAGAGUGACGCACACGAAUGUGUUUGCGUACGAGGAAAGCAAAGGGUCGGUUAGUAAUUUCUCCGACUGGUCAGUAGAAGAGUUUCGUAUAGAACAGCCAGAUAGCUCGUGUCGCAGACCGUGGAUGUACGGAACUGUAUCGAUCGAGGCGUUAAAUAUUUAAUCGCAGGAAGAAAGUUCAAUACACGGACGAGGACGGUUGUCUUUCGAAGACAGGCCGAAACGAACAAAAAUGAACACGACAGGAACAAGGCAACACGCAACAAUUCCUCGUCUGGCUGGUAUUUGCCAAGACUGGGUUGACUUUCAUUAUUUAGAGCGGCGGAGAAAAAUGAGGAUCGUCGACACGUCGUUUCUACCACAUAUCGAUCGUAAUUUACCAGACAACUUACUCAUAUGCAUGUAUACUAAAACUGCAAUCUUUUUGUACAGUUUAGUUUAACUUCAUUUAAGCGACUUACUGUUUUCUCAAAAUCGUUUCCGCAGCGAUUUUUAUUUACAUGCGAAAUAAUUUCGUAAUAAUUAUAAAAAGAGUGCGUUACAUAAAUGUAAUUCAUCCUAACGCAAUAUGGCGUCUGAAUAAUUUCAGAAAAUUAUAAUGAUUACGAUGUUGCAGAAAGAAAUUGUUGAAAUAUGAAUACCAAUGAAUUUGGGUCAACUAUUCAUGCAUAAAAUAUACUCCAUUCAUAAAUAGAAACGAGGUAAUGGAACAUUUCUACACGGUCUGAUCCCAAACUUUACUCGAAUGACUUCCGGUAGUUGAAUCUUUGAAUGAGGGAAACAUUGGCAAAACACGAUUACGUUUCAAUGAUUCGUUUUCACAAGAAAUUGAUAAUUAUGGGAGGCAUUAUCAGAAAUUAUUCUUUUAAAAUAUUUUUAGUGCUAAAUUAAUGUAUAAUAGGAGAAGAAGGGAGCUUCAUUAAUGUUUGAAACUUUACAUGUAUUUGCUUGAAAAUUGCACUAUGCUAAUCAUUGCAUUCAAACAUAUUGUGCUACGAGAAAUUAAUUGAAAAUUGUAUUGAUACUCAAAUUUCAGUAUAUAAAAUAUUAAUAUGACAUAUUAAUUGGAAAGUUUUCAUUAGGACAUGAACAUUUUAAAUGAGUUGUAAAUGUAUUAUAUCGAAUAAAUUUCGUAAGCAAAGUUCUAUGUAUAUUAAGCAACUCUGAUAGCAACGGAGUAUCGAUUGCUUCGAAAGAUUCUAUACCUAGCAAUAAAAAUGUCGCAAUUUACCUUUCAAAAAAUAAAACAGGCCAAUUUUCUACCCUAUAUUGACAGGUUGCUUGUUACUGAAAAAUUGCAUUGAAAGCACGCGUAACUACCGAGUGAAGUCGAUAAACAGUAGAGAGAUACGAUCUUUCCCAAGUCACCAAGGCAAGCUAGCUUCUUGUGGACUGUGGUGCCGUCUUUUUUGGUAGUACACUUUUAAAGGAGUUUUUAGAUAAGAGGACUUUAAUAGCUAACACCGAACAAGUUAGCCGUUGCAAGUUUUAGUACAUCUUAGACUCUC